CCUACGGGUGGCAGCAGUGAGGAAUAUUGGUCAAUGGUCGCGAGCCUGAACCAGCCAAGUAGCGUGAAGGAGGACUGCCCUACGGGUUGUAAACUUCUUUUAUAAAGGAAUAAAGUGAGGCACGUGUGCCUUUUUGUAUGUACUUGAUGAAUAAGGAUCGGCUAACUCCGUGCCAGCAGCCGCGGUAAUACGGAGGAUCCGAGCGUUAUCCGGAUUUAUUGGGUUUAAAGGGAGCGUAGAUGGGUUGUUAAGUCAGUUGUGAAAGUUUGCGGCUCAACCGUAGAAUUGCAUUUGAUACUGGCAGCCUUGAGUACAGUAGAGGUACGCGGAAUUCGUGGUGUAGCGGUGAAAUGCUUAGAUAUCACGAAGAACUCCGAUUGCGAAGGCAGCUUACUAACCUGCCACUGACAUUGAUGCUCGAAAGUGUGGGUAUCAAACAGGAUUAGAUACCCGUGUAGUC
RNAcentral lists this ribosomal RNA (460 nucleotides) under uncultured bacterium. Its description in RNAcentral is "partial 16S ribosomal RNA". It matches the Rfam family "Bacterial small subunit ribosomal RNA", at positions 338 to 795 of the family's 1533-position model. The record is from RNAcentral.